RNAcentral lists this long non-coding RNA (972 nucleotides) under Musa acuminata (dwarf banana). RNAcentral's name for it is "long non-coding RNA (MACU_LNC003157)". Lineage: Eukaryota; Viridiplantae; Streptophyta; Magnoliopsida; Zingiberales; Musaceae. The record is from RNAcentral.
GAGAAAUAGCCAAUGAUCAGUUCAUGUACCUUGAGAAUCUCAUAUAAGUAUAAGACUUCCAAAACUUCUACAUUCCAAAGCAAAUAAUGUAGAUCUAAGAGAUUGUGCCAAACAUUGCUAAACCAAUGGGAAAAAAAUUAAAAAAUUUCAGCUAGGAAACAGCCAAAUACGACAUCAAGAAAAAGGGCUUGGCAAACAUGUAAUCUAGCAUGUAUAUCAUCAUCAAAAUUUGCAACAAGCAUCAGAGAUACCACAAUAUCAUACAGCAGAACCUGGCCAUCAUAGCGUUGACUCAAAGAACUUCAACCUGAAAUCAUCAGCUAUCAACAACUAGAAAUAAAUGAUGCACCACAAGUCUAAAACCAAAUGUCUUCCAAUUUAACAAAAUGGUAGAAACUCAUCGUAGCAAGAUCCUCUCCAAAUAAAUGAACUUAAACGAAGAGCAUAACACAAGCCCUAUUACCGUGAUAUUAAAGCAUGGCAUAAGCGUACGUUUAGACUAAAUCACAGCACUGUGCAUGACCCGCCAAGGGGCAACUAAGUUGCCAAAAUUUCAGAAUACCAAGAAUGCAUUAAGAAAAACCUCAAAUUUUCUUGUGGACAGCCGAAAAACGUCUGCGAAUCGGAUCACAACAAAUCUAGCAAGAUUUCAACCGGGAGAGUAGCAAGAUCCAUGCAAUUCUCAACUGGAUCCAGCAUCGAACAGAGUAGCUUCACCAAGGGUGGAUCUCUUUUGGCAAAAGAUUAACGGCCAAAGGAAACCCUACCGGAUCUGUGAAAGAUAGAGAGGAUUCGACCACCUCAGUGAUUCGGGAAAAGGAGAAGAGAGAGGACAUGCUCGACGGAGAGGGUGCAGUUUCCAUCAAAUUCAUCGAGAAGGAAGAGGAGCUAGAUCCCUGCAAUUCUCAACUGGAUCCAGCCUCGAACAGAGUAACAACACCGAGAUCGGAUCUUUUGGGCAAAAUAUUAACG